Molecule: non-coding RNA, 722 nt
Organism: Myotis myotis
Lineage: Eukaryota; Metazoa; Chordata; Mammalia; Chiroptera; Vespertilionidae
Source: the annotation of a RefSeq genome assembly
GGGGUGUCAGAAGGCAGCGCUCUCAGGGCACCUCCACCAUGGCCUGGGCUCUGCUCCUCCUCAGCCUCCUCUCUCAGGGCACAGGGUCCUGGGCCCAGGCUCCCCUCACUCAGCCGCCCUCAGUGUCUGGGACUCCAGGGACGUCAGUCACCAUCUCCUGUGCUGGGAGCAGCAAUGAUGUCGGGGGUUAUGAUGAUGUCUCCUGGUACCAACAUCGCCCGGGCACGGUCCCUAAACUCCUGAUUCAUGAUGACACAUACCAGCCCUCGGGGAUCCCUGAGCGCUUCUCUGGCUCCAAGUCUGGCAACACGGCCACCCUGACCAUCUCUGGGCUGCAGGCCGAGGACGAGGCCGAUUAUCACUGUUGCUCAUAUGCAGGCAGUGGCACUCUCCACAGUGGGUCCUGGGCCCAGGCUCCCCUCACUCAGCCACCCUCAGUGUCUGGGACUCCAGGGACGUCAGUCACCAUCUCCUGUGCUGGGAGCAGCAAUGAUGUCGGGGGUUAUGAUGAUGUCUCCUGGUACCAACAUCGCCCGGGCACGGCCCCUAAACUCCUGAUUCAUGAUGACACAUACCGGCCCUCGGGGAUCCCUGAGCGCUUCUCUGGCUCCAAGUCUGGCAACACGGCCACCCUGACCAUCUCUGGGCUGCAGGCUGAGGACGAGGCCGAUUAUCACUGUUGCUCAUAUGCAGGCAGUGGCACUCUCCACAGUGAGCCCUGA